Pseudophryne corroboree (corroboree frog) is the source of this 314-nucleotide small nucleolar RNA. Lineage: Eukaryota; Metazoa; Chordata; Amphibia; Anura; Myobatrachidae. The record is from RefSeq and is a predicted model, not a curated record.
GCCAUGUGAUGAGACCAAGGCACAUGUGACUCCUUUGUCCUCUGGGUGUAACCUCUGCCCGUUGCCCUCGGUCUGUAAUCUUGGUGGCCGCGGAGAAGGAUCUCGCUGCCGCUGUAAGGCCAGACCCACAGCAGCUGUUACAGCUGGUCUUUCUCAGCCUGUUUCUGAUCUGCCCACCAGAGUGAGUGUGCGGAGUCUGAGGGGGACCUACAGGAUGGACCAUGGGCUAGAUAGAGGGAGCAGGGCAGAGGUGAAUGCUCGCGGAGAGAGGUGAUGGGGAGACAUGAGCACAUGUCUUUGGUAAUCUGAUGGCA